This 78-nucleotide non-coding RNA is filed under the name Rhizobium sp. Lineage: Bacteria; Pseudomonadati; Pseudomonadota; Alphaproteobacteria; Hyphomicrobiales; Rhizobiaceae. RNAcentral also lists the same sequence under 1 other name. The record is from RNAcentral.
AUUGCACUUCGUGGUGAUUUGGCCGGCCGGCUUGCAGCCACGUUAAACAAGUCGCUAAAGGGCCGCGCGAAGUUCACU